RNAcentral lists this ribosomal RNA (166 nucleotides) under uncultured Enterobacter sp. RNAcentral's name for it is "partial 16S ribosomal RNA". It matches the Rfam family "Bacterial small subunit ribosomal RNA", at positions 335 to 495 of the family's 1533-position model. The record is from RNAcentral. Lineage: Bacteria; Pseudomonadati; Pseudomonadota; Gammaproteobacteria; Enterobacterales; Enterobacteriaceae.
ACUCCUACGGGAGGCAGCAGUGGGGAAUAUUGCACAAUGGGCGCAAGCCUGAUGCAGCCAUGCCGCGUGUAUGAAGAAGGCCUUCGGGUUGUAAAGUACUUUCAGCGGGGAGGAAGGUGCUGAGGUAAUAACCUCAGCAAAGGACGUACCCGCAGAAGAAGCACCG